This 497-nucleotide ribosomal RNA is filed under the name uncultured bacterium. RNAcentral's name for it is "partial 16S ribosomal RNA". It matches the Rfam family "Bacterial small subunit ribosomal RNA", at positions 28 to 507 of the family's 1533-position model. The record is from RNAcentral.
GAUGAACGCUGGCGGCGUGCCUAAUACAUGCAAGUCGAGCGAACGGACCAGAAGCUUGCUUCUCUGAUGUUAGCGGCGGACGGGUGAGUAACACGUGGAUAACCUACCUAUAAGACUGGGAUAACUUCGGGAAACCGGAGCUAAUACCGGAUAAUAUUUUGAACCGCAUGGUUCAAAAGUGAAAGACGGUCUUGCUGUCACUUAUAGAUGGAUCCGCGCUGCAUUAGCUAGUUGGUAAGGUAACGGCUUACCAAGGCAACGAUGCAUAGCCGACCUGAGAGGGUGAUCGGCCACACUGGAACUGAGACACGGUCCAGACUCCUACGGGAGGCAGCAGUAGGGAAUCUUCCGCAAUGGGCGAAAGCCUGACGGAGCAACGCCGCGUGAGUGAUGAAGGUCUUCGGAUCGUAAAACUCUGUUAUUAGGGAAGAACAUAUGUGUAAGUAACUGUGCACAUCUUGACGGUACCUAAUCAGAAAGCCACGGCUAACUACGUG